Molecule: unclassified non-coding RNA, 391 nt
Filed under: soil metagenome
Description: partial contains 5.8S ribosomal RNA, internal transcribed spacer 2, and large subunit ribosomal RNA
Rfam family: 5.8S ribosomal RNA (bases 1-122)
Source: RNAcentral
GAUGAAGAACGCAGCGAAAUGCGAUACUUGGUGUGAAUUGCAGAAUCCCGUGAACCAUCGAGUCUUUGAACGCAAGUUGCGCCCGAAGCCAUUAGGCCGAGGGCACACCUGCCUGGGCGUCACACGUCGUUGCCCCCCCAUCUACUCCUUCGGGAUUGCGGGGGGCGGAUGAUGGCCUCUCGUGCGCCUCGUCGCGCGGUUGGCCUAAAUGCCAAGUCCUCGGCGACGCACGCCACGACAAUCGGUGGUUGCGAAACCUCGGUUGCCUGUCGUGUGCGGUCGUCGCGCAUCGAGGGCUCGAAAAAAUUGCCGGGCUUCGGCUCGACUUUCAACGCGACCCCAGGUCAGGCGGGGUUACCCGCUGAAUUUAAGCAUAUCAAUAAGCGGAGGA